GUCCUCAAGCUGGAUUUCGCUAAAGCUUUUGACUCGGUUAACUGGGCGUGCCUUCAUCGAGUCAUGGAGGUGCGCGGCUUCCCUGUGAAGUGGUGCGCGUGGGUGGAUGCUAUCCUCCGUUCAUCACGCUCCGCUGUGCUGCUCAACGGAGAGCCGGGGGCGUGGUUCCCGGUCAGGUGUGGGCUUCACCAAGGAGACCCGAUGUCGCCC
RNAcentral lists this ribosomal RNA (210 nucleotides) under Triticum aestivum (bread wheat). Its description in RNAcentral is "partial small subunit ribosomal RNA". Lineage: Eukaryota; Viridiplantae; Streptophyta; Magnoliopsida; Poales; Poaceae. The record is from RNAcentral.